This 271-nucleotide unclassified non-coding RNA is filed under the name Spiroplasma sp. GSU5862. RNAcentral describes it as "partial 16S-23S ribosomal RNA intergenic spacer". The record is from RNAcentral. Lineage: Bacteria; Bacillati; Mycoplasmatota; Mollicutes; Entomoplasmatales; Spiroplasmataceae.
UUUCUAUGGAGUUAAUCAUAGUAAAUGAAUAUAAAGCUGAGCGAAUCGAUAAAACAGCUUAUGACUAUAUUCUGGUUCUAUCUAGUUUUCAGAGAUCGUGGGCACUUUCUAUAAGUGCUUGAUUUCUGAGAAUCGUUCUUUGAAAACUGAAUAUUAGAUGAAAAAAGACAUUUUAAUUUUUCUUACGUUUCAUAAAUAACGUAAUAAGUAACUUAAAAAUUACUAAGAAAAACUGAAAUUUCAUAUUUAUUAGAUUAUCUAUAAUGCAAAA